GGACUACCAGGGUUUCUAAUCCUGUUUGAUACCCAUGCUUUUGCAUCUCAGCGUCAGUUAUAAUAUAGUUAGUCGUUUUCACCUAUUGAUUGUCUCUACAAUAUUUACGUAUUUUACCUCUCCACUGAAAGUGCAACACACUUCUAUUAUACUCUUAGUUUAUGCGUCUAAAAAUAAUUAUAUAGAGUUGUACUCUAGACUUUUAUUUUUACAUCAUAAACAGCCUACAUGCCCUUUACGCCCAGUAUUUAUGAGUAACACUCAUCCCCUCCGUUUUACCGCGGCUGCUGGCAC
Molecule: ribosomal RNA, 294 nt
Filed under: uncultured bacterium
Lineage: Bacteria
Description: partial 16S ribosomal RNA
Source: RNAcentral